UCCUCUUUCCAAUCAUUUUUACUAACUGCUU
This 31-nucleotide non-coding RNA is filed under the name Mus musculus (house mouse). The record is from RNAcentral. Lineage: Eukaryota; Metazoa; Chordata; Mammalia; Rodentia; Muridae.